UACGUAGGGACCAAGCGUUGUUCGGAUUUACUGGGCGUAAAGGGCGCGUAGGCGGUCGUGACAAGUCACUUGUGAAAUCUCCGGGCUUAACUCGGAACGGUCAAGUGAUACUGUCGUGCUAGAGUACAGGAGGGGCAACUGGAAUUCUCGGUGUAGCGGUGAAAUGCGUAGAUAUCGAGAGGAACACCUGCGGCGAAGGCGGGUUGCUGGGCUGAUACUGACGCUGAGGCGCGAAAGCCAGGGGAGCGAACGGG
RNAcentral lists this ribosomal RNA (254 nucleotides) under uncultured prokaryote. Its description in RNAcentral is "partial 16S ribosomal RNA". It matches the Rfam family "Bacterial small subunit ribosomal RNA", at positions 524 to 776 of the family's 1533-position model. The record is from RNAcentral.